AACGCUGGCGGCGUGCCUAAUACAUGCAAGUCGAGCGAACGGACGAGAAGCUUGCUUCUCUGAUGUUAGCGGCGGACGGGUGAGUAACACGUGGAUAACCUACCUAUAAGACUGGGAUAACUUCGGGAAACCGGAGCUAAUACCGGAUAAUAUUUUGAACCGCAUGGUUCAAAAGUGAAAGACGGUCUUGCUGUCACUUAUAGAUGGAUCCGCGCUGCAUUAGCUAGGUGGUAGGGUAACGGCUUACCAAGGCACCGAUGCAUAGCCGACCUGAGAGGGUGAUUCGGCCACACUGGAACUGAGACACGGUCCAGACUCCUACCGGGGGCAGCAGUAGGGAAUCUUCCGCAAUGGGCGAAAGCCUGACGGAGCAACGCCGCGUGAGUGAUGAAGGUCUUCGGAUCGUAAAACUCUGUUAUUAGGGAAGAACAUAUGUGUAAGUAACUGUGCACAUCUUGACGGUACCUAAUCAGAAAGCCACGGCUAACUACGUGCCAGCAGCCGCGGUAAUACGUAGGUGGCAAGCGUUAUCCGGAAUUAUUGGGCGUAAAGCGCGCGUAGGCGGUUUUUUAAGUCUGAUGUGAAAGCCCACGGCUCAACCGUGGAGGGUCAUUGGAAACUGGAAACUUGAGUGCAGAAGAGGAAAGUGGAAUUCCAUGUGUAGCGGUGAAAUGCGCAGAGAUAUGGAGGAACACCAGUGGCGAAGGCGACUUUCUGGUCUGUAACUGACGCUGAUGUGCGAAAGCGUGGGGAUCAAACAGGAUUAGAUACCCUGGUAGUCCACGCCGUAAACGAUGAGUGCUAAGUGUUAGGGGGUUUCCGCCCCUUAGUGCUGCAGCUAACGCAUUAA
This 850-nucleotide ribosomal RNA is filed under the name uncultured Staphylococcus sp. RNAcentral describes it as "bacterial SSU rRNA". It matches the Rfam family "Bacterial small subunit ribosomal RNA", at positions 32 to 863 of the family's 1533-position model. Lineage: Bacteria; Bacillati; Bacillota; Bacilli; Caryophanales; Staphylococcaceae. The record is from RNAcentral.